Molecule: long non-coding RNA, 2009 nt
Organism: Engraulis encrasicolus (European anchovy)
Lineage: Eukaryota; Metazoa; Chordata; Actinopteri; Clupeiformes; Engraulidae
Exons: 5
Source: RefSeq, a predicted model, not a curated record
CGACAGUAAAAACUGCACGAAGAUCACAACUAUGUGUACAGUUCCAUUGGCAGAGGCGCAGUGGAGGUCAAGGUAUAGUUCAACAUAUCAGGAAACAAGAAACACAUAGACUCAGACGGUCAGGGCUGAGUUUCCUCUCUUCAGUGGAUCUAGUAGUCAGAGGUUCUUCAGGGCUGACAUGGCACACUCCACAACAAACUCAAUCAAGGACAUCCUCAGGAACACACUGGGUGAACUCGGCCAGAACGAUUUCAAGAAUUUCAAGAAAUUAUUGAAUGAAGUUGGUAAAAUCCAAUGGACAAAGCUUGAGACUGCAGAGCUAUAUGGAACAGUAGAUUUAAUAGUGCAAGUGCACACUGUGGAGGCUGGGCAGGUAGUUAUUAAUAUAUUGAAAAAGAUGAAUCAGAACAAGUUGGCAGAAGACUUGGAGAAGGAGCUAAAAGCAGCGAUGGCUCUAUCUGCCAGCCCAGGUUUCACUCCACAGCUCAGUGUUAACUACACCCUGAAUGAAAAACAGAGUGCGGUGAAUCAGAGGGGGAAAAACGUGGACGAGAGAGAAAUAAACUGCUCAGAACGAGAGAAGGCAGUUGAUGACAGAGAAAAUAAUUGCUGGAUUAGAGAAAAAAAAUUGGAUGAGAGAGAGAAGAACUGCUAUACAAGAGAGAAAAAUGUGGAAGAGAGAGAGAAGAACUGCACCAAAAGAGAGAAACAAUUAGAGAAAAGAGAGAAUCAACGCACAUGAAGGAAUGAUGCACAAGUGGCUCAUUACUGCUCAUUACUGUGGACAUCUGAGGACACUCCUCACCACACACAGAGGACCUACGUACAUCUCAUUAUUAUUAGGGGGCCAAGCAGCGAAGCUGGCGGGACUUGCUCCAAACCGCCUGGACCACACCACAGGGAGUGACAUUACACCAACUGGUAGUCUUAAACACCUCGCCUCAAAUAGAGGACCUAAUUAAGGGGAAGAUUUUUUUUUGUAUUGAAAGUUGUCUGAAAUAUGAUUAAAUAUGCAAACGAUUUCAUCUACUUAAUAUGAUGUAAGAUAUGCAACAACAGGCUAAAACAUAAAAAAGUGAUGAUUCACAUUAUUGAUAAGCCCCCUUCAUCACAUAUGCAAAAUCUACCUUCGUCAUUUUAGUAGAACAUAUAUUUUUCAAGGUCAGAAGUAGGAGAUUUCCUAUGCAUCUUGCCAUUCCAAAAUCUGUUACAUUUGACCUUGGAAAAGUAUGUUCCACUAAAUACACGAGGGUGGAUUUUUAAUAUUUGAUGCAGAGUUUUCAGGAUCAAUGUAAUAUAUGAACCAUUACUAUUGCAAUUUGUGCUAUGUUUGAUCUGUAACCAGAUUUUAUCACCAUGAUCAUCAUAUUCCAGAAAACUUGCAAUUAAAAAAACAUUUGCCUUAAUAUGAGUUACCAACUGUGGAAGUUCUCCUAUUUUACAUGUCUCAUACACUUUUUUAAUUUGGAUUUGUGCAUACUAUAUGCUUUUCUAUACAGCCUCAAGUUCACAUUGUCCCUCAGCUAAACAAAAAAAUGCUCCUUGUAAUUCAUUGCACCAAAUAUGCAUUGUCUUUGGUAGUUAUUGGAAAUAUUUUUAUUUUUAAAGGGCACCUCAUUUCCAUGUUGUGGUAUGUUGUCGGGCAACUCUACAAUUGUGUAAAUGCUUCUGUUCUGUUUGAUAUUGUUCAGCUCAUUAGAUAACACAUGAGUUGAGUGACAAAGCAAAUCUUAUUUUGACAAGUUAUUAAUGCAACAAAUAGCCUGAUAACUUGAUUUGUUAGAGAGGAACACAUUUCAUUGUAUUCCAAAUAACAGUGGGGAUCCUACACUGAUUUACUUCCUGGUCAAGACUCCUUCUACUUGAAUAUGAAAAAUUGCAUUAAAAGUUCAUUACAAAGUAAAAUGACAUAUAAGUCAAUUUAAACAAUUUAAAACAAUUCAAAAUACAUCAACUCGUAAUAAAUGAAAUUUCAUUUAGAGUUUGACUCACCUCUUGGUCAAGACUCU